Molecule: long non-coding RNA, 440 nt
Organism: Odontomachus brunneus
Lineage: Eukaryota; Metazoa; Arthropoda; Insecta; Hymenoptera; Formicidae
Exons: 3
Source: RefSeq, a predicted model, not a curated record
CAAAGAUAGAAUGACGCUUGCGGCGUUGCAAGCGUUAAGUGGACUAAACCAACCAACCAAACGUGGUCACGAAACGAAAAAACGCCUCUUAAUGCAUAAGAAUUGGCAGUAUCACAAAAUUCGACGGAAGCUGACUCUUACUGUGAAUUCUUGUACUUCCAAUAAACGUAACUCAUCAAACAAGUGACUUAAUGCACGUGGUAUAAUUCCAGCUGAUGUGUCCUUUUGGCCAUAAGCAAAUACUGUACAAUUGUAUCCAGCCAAAACUUCUUCAAGCAAUGGAUUAACGACUGCAUCGUAUACAUCUAUCUAUAAAUUUUACAUACAUACAUUAUUUAUUCCAAUUAUAAAUAUCCCUCAAAAAAAUAUAUAUAUAUUAUUCAAAAUAGAAGUUUCUAAUUUUUGCAAAGCAAAAAAAUUUUAUAUUUGUGUAUACCUGU